CUUACUUGGAUAACCGUGGUAAUUCUAGAGCUAAUACAUGCUAAAAACCUCGACUUCGGAAGGGGUGUAUUUAUUAGAUAAAAAACCAAUGCCCUCCGGGGCUCCCUGGUGAUUCAUAAUAACUAAACGAAUCGCAUGGCCUUGCGCCGGCGAUGGUUCAUUCAAAUUUCUGCCCUAUCAACUUUCGAUGGUAGGAUAGUGGCCUACCAUGGUGGCAACGGGUAACGGGGAAUUAGGGUUCUAUUCCGGAGAGGGAGCCUGAGAAACGGCUACCACAUCCAAGGAAGGCAGCAGGCGCGCAAAUUACCCAAUCCCGACACGGGGAGGUAGUGACAAUAAAUACUGAUGUGGAGCUCUUUAGGGUUUCACAAUUGGAAUGAGAAAAAUCUAAACCACUUAAACGAGGAACAAUUGGAGGGCAAGUCUGGUGCCAGCAGCCGCGGUAAUUCCAGCUCCAAUAGCGUAUAUNAAAGUUGUUGCAGUUAAAAAGCUCGUAGUUGAACCUUGGGCCUGGCCGGCCGGUCCGCCUCACCGCGUGCACUGGUUCGGCCGGGCCUUUCCUCCUGGGGAACCGCAUGCCCUUCACUGGGUGUGCCGGGGAAUCAGGACUUUUACUUUGAAAAAAUUAGAGUGUUCAAAGCAGGCAUUUGCUCGAAUACAUUAGCAUGGAAUAAUAGAAUAGGACGUUGUGGUUCUAUUUUGUUGGUUUCUAGGACCGCCGUAAUGAUUAAUAGGGAACG
RNAcentral lists this ribosomal RNA (740 nucleotides) under Placopsis perrugosa. RNAcentral's name for it is "SSU rRNA". It matches the Rfam family "Eukaryotic small subunit ribosomal RNA", at positions 134 to 881 of the family's 1831-position model. The record is from RNAcentral. Lineage: Eukaryota; Fungi; Ascomycota; Lecanoromycetes; Trapeliales; Trapeliaceae.